This 554-nucleotide ribosomal RNA is filed under the name uncultured bacterium. RNAcentral's name for it is "partial 16S ribosomal RNA". It matches the Rfam family "Bacterial small subunit ribosomal RNA", at positions 355 to 900 of the family's 1533-position model. The record is from RNAcentral.
UAGGGAAUCUUCGGCAAUGGGGGCAACCCUGACCGAGCAACGCCGCGUGAGUGAAGAAGGUUUUCGGAUCGUAAAGCUCUGUUGUAAGUCAAGAACGGGUGUGAGAGUGGAAAGUUCACACUGUGACGGUAGCUUACCAGAAAGGGACGGCUAACUACGUGCCAGCAGCCGCGGUAAUACGUAGGUCCCGAGCGUUGUCCGGAUUUAUUGGGCGUAAAGCGAGCGCAGGCGGUUUGAUAAGUCUGAAGUUAAAGGCUGUGGCUCAACCAUAGUUCGCUUUGGAAACUGUUAGACUUGAGUGCAGUAGAGGAGAGUGGAAUUCCAUGUGUAGCGGUGAAAUGCGUAGAUAUAUGGAGGAACACCGGUGGCGAAAGCGGCUCUCUGGACUGUCACUGACACUGAGGCUCGAAAGCGUGGGUAGCAAACAGGAUUAGAUACCCUGGUAGUCCACGCCGUAAACGAUGAGUGCUAGUUGUUUGGGGCUAUCCAGCCCUAAGUGACGCAGCAAACGCAUUAAGCACUCCGCCUGGGGAGUACGACCGCAAGGUUGAAAC